UUACGGCCAUAUCACGUUGAAACAUCGGUUCUCGUACGAUCACAGAAAUUAAGCAACGUCUACUUUGGUCAGUACCUAGAUGGGUGACCGCUUAGGAAUAUCAGGUGCUGUAA
Molecule: ribosomal RNA, 113 nt
Filed under: Acanthosepion pharaonis
Lineage: Eukaryota; Metazoa; Mollusca; Cephalopoda; Sepiida; Sepiidae
Source: RNAcentral